This 504-nucleotide ribosomal RNA is filed under the name uncultured bacterium. RNAcentral's name for it is "partial 16S ribosomal RNA". It matches the Rfam family "Bacterial small subunit ribosomal RNA", at positions 29 to 523 of the family's 1533-position model. The record is from RNAcentral.
AUUGAACGCUGGCGGCAGGCCUAACACAUGCAAGUCGAACGGUAGCACAGAGAGCUCGCUCUCGGGUGACGAGUGGCGGACGGGUGAGUAACGUCUGGGAAACUGCCCGAUGGAGGGGGAUAACUACUGGAAACGGUAGCUAAUACCGCAUAACGUCGCAAGACCAAAGUGGGGGACCUUCGGGCCUCACACCAUCGGAUGUGCCCAGAUGGGAUUAGGCAGUAGGUGGGGUAAUGGCUCACCUAGGCGACGAUCCCUAGCUGGUCUGAGAGGAUGACCAGCCACACUGGAACUGAGACACGGUCCAGACUCCUACGGGAGGCAGCAGUGGGGAAUAUUGCACAAUGGGCGCAAGCCUGAUGCAGCCAUGCCGCGUGUAUGAAGAAGGCCUUCGGGUUGUAAAGUACUUUCAGCGGGGAGGAAGGCGGUGAAGUUAAUAACUUCACCGAUUGACGUUACCCGCAGAAGAAGCACCGGCUAACUCCGUGCCAGCCGCCGCGGUAA